UACGAAGGGGGCUAGCGUUGUUCGGAAUUACUGGGCGUAAAGGGCGCGUAGGCGGCCUCGUUAGUCGUGUGUGAAAUACCUGGGCUCAACCCGGGAAUUGCGCUCGAUACUACGGGGCUAGAGUGUGGGAGAGGUUGGUGGAAUUCCCAGUGUAGAGGUGAAAUUCGUAGAUAUUGGGAAGAACACCGGUGGCGAAGGCGGCCAACUGGACCACAACUGACGCUGAGGCACGAAAGCGUGGGGAGCAAACAGG
This 253-nucleotide ribosomal RNA is filed under the name uncultured bacterium. RNAcentral's name for it is "partial 16S ribosomal RNA". It matches the Rfam family "Bacterial small subunit ribosomal RNA", at positions 524 to 776 of the family's 1533-position model. The record is from RNAcentral.